CUGGGCUCGAACGGCUGGUUAACGGCGGUGGAAACACUGCUACUCCGCAAGGAGGUCCAGUCGAGGUGCUGCAUGGCUGUCGUCAGCUCGUGUCGUGAGAUGUUGGGUUAAGUCCCGCAACGAGCGCAACCCUUGUCCUGUGUUGCCAACCCGCAAGGGGGGACUCGCAGGAGACCGCCAGCGAUAAGCUGGAGGAAGGUGGGGAUGACGUCAAGUCCUCAUGGCCUUUAUGUCCAGGGCUACACACGUGCUACAAUGGCCGGUACAAAGCGCAGCUAAGUCGCGAGACGGAGCCAAUCGCAAAAAACCGGUCUCAGUUCGGAUUGCAGGCUGCAACUCGCCUGCAUGAAGCUGGAAUCGCUAGUAAUGGCGUAUCAGAACGAUGCCGUGAAUACGUUCCCGGGCCUUGUACACACCGCCCGUCACAUCACGAAAGUGGGUUGUACUAGAAGUCUGCAGGCUGACCCGCAAGGGAGGCAGCGGCCCAAGGUAUGACUCAUGAUUGGGGUG
RNAcentral lists this ribosomal RNA (510 nucleotides) under uncultured bacterium. Its description in RNAcentral is "bacterial SSU rRNA". It matches the Rfam family "Bacterial small subunit ribosomal RNA", at positions 975 to 1482 of the family's 1533-position model. The record is from RNAcentral.